Molecule: non-coding RNA, 1221 nt
Organism: Schizosaccharomyces pombe (fission yeast)
Lineage: Eukaryota; Fungi; Ascomycota; Schizosaccharomycetes; Schizosaccharomycetales; Schizosaccharomycetaceae
Source: the annotation of a GenBank genome assembly
UUUGACUUCAACUUGCAUCUACCCCACAAUCUUGACAGAAUCCAUGUCUGGGGCCCCGUGAGUACCGGCAACUGACCCUCUAAAAAUUAGGAAGCAACUGCAACAUUGGUCCAGAGCUGCGACGAUGUAUCCAAGCAACUGGAGUAAUAGUGGGAUAGAGUUAUCAUCAAAAUAACGCUGCCCACAAGAAAGGAUGGGAUGUUUGUCUACUGGCAAAAGGUACACUGGGGAAAAAUACAAACACUCUACUCACCGUUUAAACCCUUCUAUACUACCGCUGGUCAGACAAGCUUCUAAUUUUUUUACGGAUUCUGUUGUAAAUUGUUAGAAUUCUUGUUUUUUCUUCGUUGUUCGUCAGUUUAACCCCGCCAAAACCCAAAAAAAAGUGUUUGAAACACUAUUCUAAAGGUGUUCGCCCCUCACCAUUCCGGUAAGAAAUCAGGCAAGUAUCCGCUCAAAAGUUUGGCGGGGAAGAAGGAAAAGAGCCUAAAGUCGGACGAACAAAUGCGGGGUGGUGUAGAGGAACGCAGUCUAGAACAAUGGAGGAACACAUGCGCAGUGCAAAAAUGUCUACCGCAAGAGCAAGAAAAUUUUCGCACCAAUUAUUAGUUAAAUGAGGAGCAUCACAUGAAAAAGUGGGACAUAUCCAAUCACCUCUCAGUAUUUUGUUCACUUUGCUCCCCUCGUUUUCCCAUAGUGUGGAGAACAUUCAUGAAAACCAAACCUUCCGCCAAUCAAAUUACGGUUUGAAAAAUUCUACGUUUCUAUUCGCCGUCAUUCGGAACAAGCGAGCUUCCACCUUUUACGUUGACAUCAUUGAAAAAUGGAGAUAAUGGGGUUAAGGAAAGUGUGGGGCUAACCUUCCAAGUUACCUUUCCCUCCAUGACGUGGAGUACAUUUAGGCUCGUAAACUAACGUGCGUACGUUGGACUAGCUAUGCUGCACGCUAUUUGUCAAAAAAGGAUUUGCAGCAUGCGAGCGAAAGUCAACGAAGACGUGUAUGCGAGGAAACCGGUGUGGAACAGUGUUCUAGGACUAUACCUGAACAAAAUUGUGGGGCAAGUUUAUUUUCGCUUUUGCUAAUGCCCUUUUUUUUUGGCAAUUGCCUUGAGUAAUGGACAUUCAGUGUACUUUGUUUUAUUUACAAGCUUAGGAAAAGCGAGCUGGUUAGGAGCACUAGUAAACACAAAGCACACUUUUAAUUAAGCAAUGUUAUAAGUA